UACGGGGGGGGCAAGCGUUGUUCGGAAUUACUGGGCGUAAAGCGCGCGUAGGUGGUUUGUUAAGUUGGAUGUGAAAUCCCCGGGCUCAACCUGGGAACUGCAUCCAAAACUGGCAAGCUAGAGUAUGGUAGAGGGUGGUGGAAUUUCCUGUGUAGCGGUGAAAUGCGUAGAUAUAGGAAGGAACACCAGUGGCGAAGGCGACCACCUGGACUGAUACUGACACUGAGGUGCGAAAGCGUGGGGAGCAAACAGG
RNAcentral lists this ribosomal RNA (253 nucleotides) under uncultured bacterium. Its description in RNAcentral is "partial 16S ribosomal RNA". It matches the Rfam family "Bacterial small subunit ribosomal RNA", at positions 524 to 776 of the family's 1533-position model. The record is from RNAcentral.